GUCUUGGUCAUGGUCAUGGUCAUGGUCAUGGUCCUGGUCCUGGUCUUGGUCCUGGUCUUGUUCCUGGUCCUGGUCUUGGUCCUGGUCUGGUUUCCUGGUCUUGGUCAUGGUCCUGGUCCUGGUCCUGGUCCUGGUCAUGGUCCUGGUCAUGGUCCUGGUCCUGGUCCUGGUCUUGGUCUUGGUCUUGGUCAUGGUCAUGGUCAUGGUCAUGGUCAUGGUCAUGGUCCUGGUCCUGGUCCUGGUCCUGGUCUUGGUCUUGGUCCUGGUCUUUGUCCUGGUCCUGGUCCUGGUCGGACCGGUUGCUUGUGUUUUCCAGUAAACAUUCUGAUGCUAAUCAGUGUUUCUGUUUAGGCUCCGCCCCCUGGGUCACAUGUCUGAUGGUAAUCAGUGUUUCUGUUUAGGCUCCGCCCCCUGGGUCACAUGACUGAUAGACAGGUUCAGUUGAACGUGUCAAUCACAGACUGCAGUCCAGACCCAGACGCUGGAGCAGGUGAGUGAACCAAACUGAUGGGACGAGGACAAAUGUGCAGGUUUCCUUCAUGUCAUUGAACUGGUGAUAAAACACUGGUUUUAUUUGAACUCAAACAUUUCAUUUUUUUCUUUUAAAUCAGAUCAUUUCAUUGAAUGUGUUGAAGGAUGAUGGACAGAACAGCCAUGGCAUCUGAACUCAGAUUUCUAGUGUUUGGAAAGAGCCAGGAUGAUAACGUCGAACUCACCAACUUCAUCACGGGCCAAAAAGAAGCACCAUGUGGGAAACUGACCGUCAGCAAAGGACACUGGAUGAAGACACUGUUAACAGUCGUAGCCUACGAUAUCUUCAGCCCACAUGAGGAUGAAGUAAAACAGUGGAUAAAUGAAUGUGUUUAUCGAUGUUCACCAGGUCCGAACAUCCUGCUGCUGUUGGCGAACCCUUCAGACUUCACCAAAAACGACAGACAGAGGCUAAACCACAUCAUGAGUCUGUUUGGAGACGAUGCCUUCCAGUAUUUGAUGGUCGUCAUCACACAGAAUGAAACUGGAUGGAACCCUUCGCUCCAUAAACUCAAACAGGACUGCAGACCGAGGCUGCACAGGAUCAACCUUGAUGAAAAACAUCUUCCUGAGGAAGCUCGUCAAGAAAUAAUGGAAAAGGGAAAUAAUAUUCGGAGUCAAAACAAAGGCCGAUACCUGAAACUGACUGAAGCUCUGUAUUCUUUGGUGGAACCUAAACGUCCGAAGCCACCUCUGAACCUGGUUCUCUGUGGGAGGUUUGCAGACUGAAAGGCUUUAACUGCUAAUGCUAUUCUGGGACAAAGAAAGUUCGCUCCAAGUACAGAUUCGUCAGAGUGCGUCAAACGCCAGGCGGAGGUCUGUGGACGUCGGGUUUCUUUGGUGGAACUUCCUGUUCUCAGUG
RNAcentral lists this long non-coding RNA (1393 nucleotides) under Sphaeramia orbicularis (orbiculate cardinalfish). RNAcentral's name for it is "lncRNA (ENSSORG00005019924.1)". Lineage: Eukaryota; Metazoa; Chordata; Actinopteri; Kurtiformes; Apogonidae. The record is from RNAcentral.